GGAGAGGUCGCCUAGUGGUCUAUGGCGGCGGUUUGCUAAACCGCUAUAUGGGUAAUACCGUAUCGAGAGUUCAAAUCUCUCCCUCUCCGCCA
RNAcentral lists this transfer RNA (92 nucleotides) under Candidatus Omnitrophota bacterium. RNAcentral describes it as "tRNA-Ser". It matches the Rfam family "tRNA". From Rfam's summary of the family: Transfer RNA (tRNA) molecules are approximately 80 nucleotides in length. Their secondary structure includes four short double-helical elements and three loops (D, anti-codon, and T loops). The record is from RNAcentral. Lineage: Bacteria; Pseudomonadati; Candidatus Omnitrophota.